UCGUGGGUUCCCAGAUGACGUCGGUACAAGGAGAUAUGGACGUUUUAAGGUCGAAAGGUCAGUGGGCUAGGCCCAACUCGUGACCAACCGGGUUGGCCCAAAAAAAAAAAAGAUAAAAGGGGAGAAAAUUUAGGCCCAAAAGAGGGGUGGCCGGCCAUAUGGCCCAAGCCCAUGGUAAUUCAUUAAUCCAUGUAUUAAAUGAGACAUUAGACCACAAUUCUUUCAUUUUCAAGAAUCUUCAAGAACAAAAUUGAGAGAAAAAGAAGAGCAAAAACUUGAAGGACCACACGGCCAAGUCCUUGGAAAAUUAGGUCCUCAAAAUCUUCCUCCAAAAAUUAUUAGCUUGUGGUUUUCCUACUCAAUUAAGGGUCCUUUACAACUUGGUGUAGUUGUUUUGGAAGAAGGAGCACUUAUUUCUUCAAGUUGACAACUUGUUCAAGUGAAGAAAUUUGUAGAAAAAGGUUUUGGACGAAACGGGAUUUGAGUUUUGGCAAGCGUAAAGGGCAAGAAAGGUACCGACGACAGGUUUGCUGAUCCGUCCGCUUAGGAUCUUAUUCUCCUAUUUUGGAGCGCUCUCUUAUCCAGAGCCCAUCUUUUGGUAUAGUCUGUCACUACUGUAUAUAUAUAUUCUCGUUCAUGGGUACGGCGGGGCCCUGUCCCGUCAUAUGAUUCUGUCGGUCUGUUUAGAGGUCUGUGGACAUGUUUGUGGGUUGGGGUCUUUCUGUACAGUUGCGUGUGUAUGUUGUGUUUGGGCGAUCUCAUUCGC
Lycium barbarum (goji berry) is the source of this 766-nucleotide long non-coding RNA. RefSeq lists it as uncharacterized. The transcript has 3 exons. NCBI's taxonomy places the organism in Eukaryota, Viridiplantae, Streptophyta, Magnoliopsida, Solanales, Solanaceae. The record is from RefSeq and is a predicted model, not a curated record.